GAUGAAGAACGUAGCGAAAUGCGAUAAGUAAUGUGAAUUGCAGAAUUCAGUGAAUCAUCGAAUCUUUGAACGCACAUUGCGCCCGCCAGUAUUCUGGCGGGCAUGCCUGUUCGAGCGUCAUUUCAACCAUCAAGCCCCCGGCUUGUGUUGGGGACCUGCGGCUGCCGCAGGCCCUGAAAAGCAGUGGCGGGCUCGCUGUCACACCGAGCGUAGUAGCAUACAUCUCGCUCUGGGCGUGCUGCGGGUUCCGGCCGUUAAACCACCUUCAUUACCCAAGGUUGACCUCGGAUCAGGUAGGAAGACCCGCUGAACUUAAGCAUAUCAAUAAGCGGAGGA
RNAcentral lists this unclassified non-coding RNA (336 nucleotides) under soil metagenome. RNAcentral's name for it is "partial contains 5.8S ribosomal RNA, internal transcribed spacer 2, and large subunit ribosomal RNA". The stretch from base 1 to 120 matches the Rfam family "5.8S ribosomal RNA", at positions 35 to 154 of the family's 154-position model. The record is from RNAcentral.